GAAAACCCUGGAAGCCCUCCCCUGGGCUGGGAACGGGCGUUUGUGCCGCCGGUUCACGGCUGGUUAUCCCAAAAACAUCAGCGAUGAGCUACAGCCUUCCCGUGUCUGAACGGGGCCUGCCGGCACGCUGGAGAGUGUUCGUCAGAGAUUGCAGUGAUUGGACAUGGGGCAACGGGUUCAAACUUAAACAGGGAAGUUCAGGUUAGAUGUAAGGAAGAAGUUCUUUACUGUGAGGAGCGAUUUCAAUUGCCAUGUACUAAGAUGAGUUAUAACAACAUUUCAUCUAUCAAUAUAGAUAAAAUACAUAAACCAUGGAGUAAAUACUGAAAAAGCAGUCACAUAGAUUCUUCAACAAAAGCAAGUAUUAAUGCAGAAAUAGUAAGUCUCUCCCUUAUGUACAUAAACCAUACUUGCCUUUUGCAGGUAUCUUUGAAGAAACAACACACAUCUGGGAGAAUCAUUUAAGAAGUUCAAAGUAGAAACUGGAAACAUGAGGUUCAAAAUCAAAUGAAUGAAAAUAAUGUCGAAAAUGAAAAACAAAAGACUGAAGACUACGUCUAUUAUUGCCAUCACAGCAAGCUGCAUAUGCACAAAUGACCAGUUGAAGUUACUUCAAAAUAUGAUUCAUCUAACAAAAAAUAAUUUUCAUCUAACAAAAGAGCCACUGAGAUAAACGUAACAUAUGACUUCAAUAUACAUUGCCUAACACGCUUUGGGAAACUUUUCCAAUUAAACCAUCAAACA
RNAcentral lists this long non-coding RNA (744 nucleotides) under Strigops habroptila (Kakapo). RNAcentral describes it as "lncRNA (ENSSHBG00005008956.1)". Lineage: Eukaryota; Metazoa; Chordata; Aves; Psittaciformes; Psittacidae. The record is from RNAcentral.